Molecule: ribosomal RNA, 443 nt
Filed under: uncultured bacterium
Lineage: Bacteria
Description: partial 16S ribosomal RNA
Rfam family: Bacterial small subunit ribosomal RNA
Source: RNAcentral
CCUACGGGUGGCAGCAGUGGGGAAUAUUGGGCAAUGGGCGCAAGCCUGACCCAGCAACGCCGCGUGAAGGAAGAAGGCUUUCGGGUUGUAAACUUCUUUUCUUAGGGACGAAGCAAGUGACGGUACCCGAGGAAUAAGCCACGGCUAACUACGUGCCAGCAGCCGCGGUAAUACGUAGGUGGCAAGCGUUAUCCGGAUUUACUGGGUGUAAAGGGCGUGUAGGCGGGACUGCAAGUCAGAUGUGAAAUCCACGGGCUCAACCUGUGGCCUGCAUUUGAAACUGUAGUUCUUGAGUACUGGAGAGGCAUGCGGAAUUCCUAGUGUAGCGGUGAAAUGCGUAGAUAUAAGGAGGAACACCAGUGGCGAAGGCGGUCUGCUGGACAGCAACUGACGCUGAGGCGCGAAAGCGUGGGUAGCAAACAGGAUUAGAUACCCGAGUAGUC